UUUCAAAUAUUAUAACAUUUUAAACCCGUCAUACCAUCUAAUCUCGUUAUGUGAUAUUAA
Molecule: small RNA, 60 nt
Filed under: Arabidopsis thaliana (thale cress)
Lineage: Eukaryota; Viridiplantae; Streptophyta; Magnoliopsida; Brassicales; Brassicaceae
Description: ATSL104630
Source: RNAcentral